AAACCAUUUUGGGGAAGAGCAAAUGGCCCAUACUGAAUUCCAUUUUGUGGGCCCACCAUAGACCACCUGUACUUUGUGGUCAGAUGAUGUACAAGGAUCAAAAUCUCCAGCUUGGCUAAGUCAUUCCCUGGACAUGAGUGGACCCCAUUGCCAAAUGGCAUGAAUGUAUUGGGUUUUGGUGACACCUCAAAUCUUGAAGGAUCAAAUUUCUCUGGUUCAGGAAAAUUGUCUGGACUAUGAUGAAUAUUCCUAAA
Molecule: unclassified non-coding RNA, 254 nt
Filed under: Hevea brasiliensis (rubber tree)
Lineage: Eukaryota; Viridiplantae; Streptophyta; Magnoliopsida; Malpighiales; Euphorbiaceae
Source: RNAcentral